GUCGAGAGGCUUCGGCAAUGGGGGAAACCCUGACCGAGCGACGCCGCGUGGGUGAUGAAGUUUCUCGGAACGUAAAACCCUGUCAGGUGGGAUGAAAUACCAUUUGGUUAACACCCAAGUGGCUUGACAGUACCACCAGAGGAAGCUCCGGCUAACUCCGUGCCAGCAGCCGCGGUAACACGGGGGGAGCAAGCGUUGUUCGGAUUCAUUGGGCGUAAAGGGCUCGUAGGUGGCUUUGUAAGUCGGAGGUGAAAGACCACGGCUCAACCGUGGAAACGCCUUCGAAACUGUGAAGCUUGAGGCUGGGAGAGGAAAUCGGAAUUCCUGGUGUAGCGGUGAAAUGCGUAGAUAUCAGGAGGAACACCGGUGGCGAAGGCGGAUUUCUGGACCAGUUCUGACACUGAUGAGCGAAAGCCAGGGGAGCAAACAGGAUUAGAAACCCUUGUAGUCC
This 451-nucleotide ribosomal RNA is filed under the name uncultured bacterium. RNAcentral's name for it is "bacterial SSU rRNA". It matches the Rfam family "Bacterial small subunit ribosomal RNA", at positions 354 to 796 of the family's 1533-position model. The record is from RNAcentral.